AGAGAAGCAAUACCGCGAGGUGGAGCAAAACUUCAAAAAUAGGUCUCAGUUCGGACUGUAGGCUGCAACUCGCCUACACGAAGUUGGAAUUGCUAGUAAUCGUGGAUCAGCAUGCCACGGUGAAUACGUUCCCGGGCCUUGUACACACCGCCCGUCACACCAUGGGAGUUGGGAGUGCCCAAAGCCGGUGAGGCAACCGAAAGGAGCCAGCCGUCUAAGGCAAGACCAAUGACUGGGGUGAAGUCGUAACAAGGUAUC
This 258-nucleotide ribosomal RNA is filed under the name uncultured bacterium. RNAcentral's name for it is "partial 16S ribosomal RNA". It matches the Rfam family "Bacterial small subunit ribosomal RNA", at positions 1243 to 1500 of the family's 1533-position model. The record is from RNAcentral.